This 35-nucleotide small RNA is filed under the name Bombyx mori (domestic silkworm). RNAcentral's name for it is "ovarian small RNA-2613". The record is from RNAcentral. Lineage: Eukaryota; Metazoa; Arthropoda; Insecta; Lepidoptera; Bombycidae.
CCUGAAAUAGUAAACGAAUUAGAAGAUGAAUUAGU